GGGGAAUUUUCCGCAAUGGGCGAAAGCCUGACGGAGCAAUACCGCGUGAGGGAUGAAAGCCUGUGGGUUGUAAACCUCUUUUCUCAAGGAAGAAGUUCUGACGGUACUUGAGGAAUAAGCAUCGGCUAACUCUGUGCCAGCAGCCGCGGUAAUACAGAGGAUGCAAGCGUUAUCCGGAAUCACUGGGCGUAAAGCGCCUGUAGGUUGUUUAUUAAGUCCGUUGUUAAAGCCUAGGGCUUAACCCUAGAAAAGCAAUGGAAACUAGUAGACUAGAGUAUGGCAGGGGUAGAGGGAAUUUCUAGUGUAGCGGUGAAAUGCGUAGAUAUUAGAAAGAACACCGGUGGCGAAAGCGCUCUACUGGACCAUUACUGACACUCAGAGGCGAAAGCUAGGGUAGCAAAAGGGAUUAGAUACCCCAGUAGUC
Molecule: ribosomal RNA, 424 nt
Filed under: uncultured cyanobacterium
Lineage: Bacteria; Bacillati; Cyanobacteriota
Description: bacterial SSU rRNA
Rfam family: Bacterial small subunit ribosomal RNA
Source: RNAcentral